Hyla sarda is the source of this 869-nucleotide long non-coding RNA. RefSeq lists it as uncharacterized. The record is from RefSeq and is a predicted model, not a curated record. NCBI's taxonomy places the organism in Eukaryota, Metazoa, Chordata, Amphibia, Anura, Hylidae. The transcript has 3 exons.
GUUACAGGAAGAUGAGCAACAAGCUGAGUAACUCCCCGUGGAGAAUCGAAGGAUGAGACAGCUCUCUAGGAAAUGUUCUUUUAAGCACAGAGUCUUAUGUUUGGCUACUAUAAAAAGUACCUAUGCCUAUAAUUUCCAGGGAUAGUGUGUCUCCUAGAGAAGGUCGCCAAACUGGCAAGUGUUAUCUUCAAGUCAUGCAAUGCUUUAUGGGAACAGAAAUUUACAAUAAAAAUUCUCCUCACUGCCACCUAUUGGAGGUAUCAUCACUCAAAGUAUGACCCUUAAAGAGCUUUGUAACAUGACUGGGGAUUAUCUGCCAUGCCAGAUGUUGGAAAAGACACAAGAACUUCAUAACAGCUGUCUACAGAGAGAUUUCUUCUUAGGCCCUUUACCAUUCAUUAAUGACAGGAACAUUAGGAGAACAGAAGAGCUCUGUCAUGUGAUUAGGGCACGGCGAGAUCCUGAUUACAGAUGAACCUGCCAACUCCAUCUUACGUAGCGGGCACCUCAGCUGAUUGCAUAAAUCAUGGUUUCCAUUAAAGCCGCGGGGAAUGUAUUUUCAUGUACUAUCAGGUUGACCUUUUGUAUUUGAACGACGAUAUUGAGUGGAAGUCAAUAAAAAGGACUGAAUAGUUAAAUUUAUCCUGACAUUUCAUUUUUGUUACCAAGAAUAUCGCUGAUAGCUGCAAAUGCAAUUACCCCUAUUACUAUAGUAACAGAUGACAACAUCAUUUCAGACCACUGCUUCCUUCCUCUGCACCUAGAAAAAAGUGCUGGAGAAUAUACAAGCUGGCGAGGGGAGGACCUUCUCCAUACCAAAACUCCCCCUUGAGGAACUGAAGAGCUGGGUCAGAGGAAAGAGUUAAAAG